RNAcentral lists this unclassified non-coding RNA (343 nucleotides) under soil metagenome. Its description in RNAcentral is "partial contains 5.8S ribosomal RNA, internal transcribed spacer 2, and large subunit ribosomal RNA". The stretch from base 1 to 120 matches the Rfam family "5.8S ribosomal RNA", at positions 35 to 154 of the family's 154-position model. The record is from RNAcentral.
GAUGAAGAACGCAGCGAAAUGCGAUAAGUAAUGUGAAUUGCAGAAUUCAGUGAAUCAUCGAAUCUUUGAACGCACAUUGCGCCCGCCAGCAUUCUGGCGGGCAUGCCUGUUCGAGCGUCAUUUCAACCCUCGAGCCCCCCCGGGGGCCUCGGUGUUGGGGGACGGCACACCAGCCGCCCCCGAAAUGCAGUGGCGACCCCGCCGCAGCCUCCCCUGCGUAGUAGCACACACCUCGCACCGGAGCGCGGAGGCGGUCACGCCGUAAAACGCCCAACUUUCUUAGAGUUGACCUCGGAUCAGGUAGGAAUACCCGCUGAGUUUAAGCAUAUCAAUAAGCGGAGGA